RNAcentral lists this long non-coding RNA (378 nucleotides) under Hordeum vulgare. Its description in RNAcentral is "long non-coding RNA (HVUL_LNC012355)". The record is from RNAcentral. Lineage: Eukaryota; Viridiplantae; Streptophyta; Magnoliopsida; Poales; Poaceae.
AAGAAAAAGGAAGAACGAAAAUAAGAAUAAGGAGUGGAAUAUGGAGAAAAAGAAAAAACAAUAAGAAAGAAUAAGAAUAAGAAUAAGAAGUAGAAUUAGGAGAAAAAGAAAGGAGAAAGAAUAAGAAUAAGAAUGAGUAGAAUAUGAAGGAAAAAAAGAAAAAAAGAAUAAUAAUAAGAAUAAGAAUGAGUAGAAUACGGAGAAAAAAAAGAAAAAGAGAAAGAAUAAUGAUAAGAAUAAAAAUGAGUAGAAUAUGAAAAAAGAGAAAAAGAUGAAAGAAUAAGAACAAGAAUAAGGAGUAGAAUAUGAAGAAAAAAAGAAAAAGAAAAAAUAAGAAUAAAAACAAGGAAUAGAUUUUGGAGAAAAAGAAAGAAAAAG